UGCAGAAUCCCGUGAACCAUCGAGUUUUUGAACGCAAGUUGCGCCCGAAGCCAUUUGGUUUAGGGCACGUCUGCUUGGGCGUCA
Molecule: ribosomal RNA, 84 nt
Filed under: Imperata cylindrica
Lineage: Eukaryota; Viridiplantae; Streptophyta; Magnoliopsida; Poales; Poaceae
Description: partial 5.8S ribosomal RNA
Rfam family: 5.8S ribosomal RNA
About the family: 5.8S ribosomal RNA (5.8S rRNA) is a component of the large subunit of the eukaryotic ribosome. It is transcribed by RNA polymerase I as part of the 45S precursor that also contains 18S and 28S rRNA. Functionally, it is thought that 5.8S rRNA may be involved in ribosome translocation.
Source: RNAcentral